AGAGUUUGAUCCUGGCUCAGAACGAACGCUGGCGGCAUGCCUAACACAUGCAAGUCGAACGAGACCUUCGGGUCUAGUGGCGCACGGGUGCGUAACGCGUGGGAAUCUGCCCUUGGGUUCGGGAUAACAGUUGGAAACGACUGCUAAUACCGGAUGAUGACUUCGGUCCAAAGAUUUAUCGCCCAGGGCAUGAGCCCGCGUAGGAUUAGCUAGUUGGUGAGGUAAAGGCUCACCAAGGCGACGAUCCUUAGCUGGUCUGAGAGGAUGAUCAGCCACACUGGGACUGAGACGCGGCCCAGACUCCUACGGGAGGCAGCAGUGGGGAAUAUUGGACAAUGGGCGAAAGCCUGAUCCAGCAAUGCCGCGUGAGUGAUGAAGGCCUUAGGGUUGUAAAGCUCUUUUACCCGGGAUGAUAAUGACAGUACCGGGAGAAUAAGCCCCGGCUAACUCCGUGCCAGCAGCCGCGGUAAUACGGAGGGGGCUAGUGUUGUUCGGAAUUACUGGGCGUAAAGCGCGCGUAGGCGGCUUUGUAAGUUAGAGGUGAAAGCCCGGAGCUCAACUCCGGAAUUGCCUUUAAAACUGCAUCGCUAGAAUCAUGGAGAGGUUAGUGGAAUUCCGAGUGUAGAGGUGAAAUUCGUAGAUAUUCGGAAGAACCCCAGUGGCGAAGGCGACUAACUGGACAUGUAUUGACGCUGAAGUGCGAAAGCGUGGGGAGCAA
This 718-nucleotide ribosomal RNA is filed under the name uncultured bacterium. RNAcentral's name for it is "bacterial SSU rRNA". It matches the Rfam family "Bacterial small subunit ribosomal RNA", at positions 8 to 771 of the family's 1533-position model. The record is from RNAcentral.